This is a long non-coding RNA of Coturnix japonica (Japanese quail), 1647 nucleotides long. Lineage: Eukaryota; Metazoa; Chordata; Aves; Galliformes; Phasianidae. The record is from Ensembl.
AUGACCAUGGAUGGAGCUCCCGGACAGCAGCCGGCACUGAUCGCCAUCAGCCUUGUAGACAUGGGUGCCACCUCCCUGCCUUCACGCAACGCUCACAGUGUCUCCCAGACUUUGCAGACAAACAGCCCCACUGUUAGGGCUCGGCAAACCCAGCCCAGCAGCCGCCACAGGAGCUGGCUUCUCUCAAUGCCACCGCUCAGACGUCUGUGGGCAGCAGCGCAACGACCCGAGGAUGAGGCCAAUUUUGCUUGGCAGCACUACGCUGCUCCAGCACCGGAACCAUUCCCUAGGGAGAGCAGCGAGCAAACCGACCGUCCCAGCUCAGCACGGAGCCUGGAGGGGGCCGAGAAAGGCCCAGAGCUUUCCCAGAAGCCGUGCGGUGCCGCACACCGCAGUAUCUGCGUGCUGAGCUCAGCUAUAGUACAUGCCCCGCUGGUUACACAGGAGCAUGCCGCCUACAGCGGCUCGGGGCAGGCCGCCUCCGUUCUGCCUUCACCUUCCGCAGGGAACCACGUCUCCGCUCGGUGCCCGACCAGGCUGGGACCGCCGUGUCCGGGCCCGGGCCGUGCCACACGGCGUCCCCGGCUGGCUCAUACAGACAAAGCGAAGCGCUUCCAGGUUCCUCCCCGCGCAGCUCAGCUUCAGGAGCGGGUGGAAACGGAGAUAAAGUUAAGCGGGAAACAUCCCAACGCGGAGCAGCGUGUAAGGAAACGGGCAGCACCGGAGGCGGAGCGGCGCGUCCCCAACACGGACAAGUUUCGGGAGAGCAGAGCGAAGCGCUCCUGCCGCUGCUGCGAGGCUCGGGCGGAACGGCGGCCCCAGGCGCCACGCAGGAGGCGGCCCGCAGCCCGCCGGCACCCCGAGCCCCGCGGGCCGGCGCUGGGCGGCGGCACUGACGUGGCACCGUGGCCGCGGCGGAGGGCCGGCUGCGGCGCUCCUUCCUCCCUCCUUCCCGUCCUCACGGCGCGGGGCCCCGGCAGGAAGCACAAAAGCUGCGCCCUCCGCGGGCCGGCGGCCCCGCUCGGCCGAGGCCCCCCGCCCGCUUCCCGUCCCCGAGCGGCAGAGGGAGGGCGGCAGAAACGCUCGACGGACGGUCGCCCCCCGCCCCGAAAUAACGGCGGCGGCGAUCCCCGCUCGGUGCCCACUCACCGCUCGUCGCAGCGGGCACGCCGCGACCCGACCCGGCCCGGCGGAGACUUUACUCCCGCGCCGUCCUCCGCUGCCGACGUGGCGCCCUCCGCCGCCCGCCCCGUCGGCGCCCGCAGACCCCGCCCCAGCGCCCGGCGCGGCCCCUCGGCGGGCGGGGGGCGCGCAGGCGCCGCCACUCCCGCCCCCUGCCCGGCCCGCGGCUCCGGGCCGCCGCGCCGCCCCCGGUGCCUUUCGGGAGGGUCGGAGCUCCCGCAGAGCCACGCGGCGCCUUCGUUCAGUCCGGGGGGGUGGCGACCCCCGAGGUCGGGGAAGGCGAAUCAGCGGGUCCUGAGCGGACUUGGCUCCUGCGCUGGAAGCAGGUCCGUGUUCCCUGCUCUGCCCCUGCUCUUCCUCCAGACGCGGGGAUCCCGGGGCUGCCGAGCGUCCCUUGCCUUGAGGCCCUGUCUGCCAUACUUGACACGCAGGCACAUCUCUUCGUGUCCACUAUUUCCCCCAUAA